GCUGAAACACAUUAGCGCGUUUGGCAAGUGCUCUAUCAGAGGGCCAUUAGACUGAGGCUCGUGCAUGAGGGGAUAGCAUACUUACUUUCACUCUCUUUGUAAUAAAAAACGAUUUCCCGGUCGGAAUAUUAUCGCUUUUUUACGAGAAAAAUGCCAUAAAAAUGGAUUUUAAACAGCGGUUGACAUGCUUCGAAGUACGGUAAUGGAAUAUUUAGAAUUUUUUUGUCACGAAAUGGGCCAUGCUCGUCACCCUUAUUUACCCUUUCGGAUAGUGUCUUGAACGCACGAACAAAACGCUGCUGUUUGGAUAUAACAAUGGAUUAUUUGGGACCAAACCAACAUUUGUUAUUGAAGUAGAAGUCCUGGGAGUGCAUUCUGACGAAGAACAGCAAAGCAACCCCAUACAGAAACCAGCUACCUGCAUUUCCCUGGACCGAAACUAUCCCUGACAACCUGCACCUCCCUACUCCCUGUUAAGGGAGGCCUUCACAAGGUGUGUGCCUUGUCUGAGAGAGCGAAUUGGAACAGAAAGGGAUGGACCUGGCACAGAGGGUAAAUUCAUGUUUAUUUGUGUCAUUGAUAUUAACAAUCUGGGGAAUACAGAACCUGUUUAACAACUCGUCUAUGGAAUUUACCUGAACUUCACAAGUAUAGACAACUGAAAAACUUGACUUGAGCUCUAUGUUGUCAUUGAUGUGGAUACUAACCCAUACACCCUUUUAUCUUUCCAUUACUUCAGAAUAGAUUUUUGUUUUGUUAUAACAGUGUAGUGGUAUAAGGAGAUAACAACUUACCUGAUAGGAAUGUUUUGUCUCUUCCUGAGGUACUCUCUGUAGGCGUUUCUCCACCCCUCAGAUCAGAAGAUGUGUUCUGUGCCACAGGGGCCCAUGAAGAGGGACCCCAGGCUGCUAAAUGGCAUUAAACUGGGAAGUUCUGAAGAUCUACUUAUUUCUAUCAAGUUGAACUAUCAAACGAGUAAUCAAACACUGACAAACAUUUGUAUUGGUUUUCUUUUAUGAAAACAGUGGAUAAGACAAUCAUCUAUAGGCUAUGGGCUAUUCAUGUUAAAUUGGCAACAGGAUGGAUCAGAGGCUUGAGUAAAAAGCGGAUUAUACACAAAACACAUUCAGUUUCAGUAGCAAGUUCACAGAAGCUACACAGGUAGCUAAAUCAUAUUUCUUCUGUCGUUACGAAUCAGUGAACGAGAAUGAAAUCUGCCUUGUCUGCAUCGUGCCGUCAGCCUGGCAUGCUGCUAACUUAUGUGCUAGCCGCUCGAGAGGCUGGGAAAACAUUCUGCGCUCUGAUUGGUUUGACGCUGAAAAUUAUCCUGUGCAGUUAUAGGCUUACAUGUACAACGACUCAGGUUAGCUUAAAGCAACAGCUAACCUGGUUACAAUCUGACUUGACAAUCUACCGUGGAACCAUAUUGAUGAGUACACUUCCUGCUUUUACAUCCUGCUUUGCUCAUCUCAAUGGCCGCCAGUCCCCCCAUUAUGACAUCAUUGACUUGAUUGGGCCCGCCCAUUCUAUUCAUUCUAUUUCUAUGGCUGCGCAUGCAGUCAGGAGCGGAAGAGAGGAGAAAAUGUGCAUCUUAAUUUGUUUUUAACCUCUCUAGGGUAGGGGGCAGUAUAUGCACGGCCGGAUAAAAAACGUACCCGAUUUAAUCUGGUUACUACUCCUGCCCAGUAACUAGAAUAUGCAUAUCAUUAUUGGCUUUGGAUAGAAAACACCCUAAAGUUUCUAAAACAGUUUGAAUGGUGUCUGUGAGUAUAUAUAUAGUAUGUAAAUACUGCCCCCUAGCCCUAACAGGUUAAAAUGGUGUAAAAUAGUCAUAUGUUUGAGAAAUUGAAGUAAUAGCAUUUCUAAGGUAUUUGAAUAUCGCGCCACGGGAUUCCACUGGCUGUUGAGUAGGUGGGACGAUUUCGUCCCAAAUACCCUAGAGAGGUUUUUAAAUAACUAUUUUGUUGUUGCAAUUUGCACGGUUAUGACAGUGACCGCAGUCAUUUAGCUGACCAAUUACCAUCAUCCAAAAUGUUAUGACCGUCACAGCCCUGCUCUUCUCUCUCUCUCUCUAACCCCUCCACACCAGAUUGCCCAUGUCUGUUUUCAAUCUUGGCCGUCUUCCUAAUUUCUCCUUUCCCAGGAUAUGAGCGGAUGGCCUGAAGAUUCAUACCGCCAGCCAGCAGCUGACUAAGGACUUUUUUUUGUUAGCGAGAGAGUGCCCCAUGAGAGAGAACGGGGGGGGGGACAGAGAGGGAGAGAUGAGGGGGCAGGGGGUAAAUUGGACCGUGCACAAACUCUCCUUUAAUUGUGUGAGUCAAUGUGAAGGCCCAGCAGCACUAAUUAGAGGGAUGUAGAGGGCCCAGUAGUUAUUAGAUAGGAGGGCAGUUACAACACAACCCAGGGAGUUAAGAAGGAACAACAACACAGUCUUCAGAACAGGACCGGCUCAGAGCAGAGUGGGACCCACCUCACAGUCUAAUACCACUGCAACAGUAAACUAGUGUAAUACUUUAGACAAGAUAUUGUCUCGUUCUCUACAGCCAGAAGUGAGUACAUCGUGCAGUAUAAACUUUGCACAGAUCACGGCACAACUGACACUACCAAAUCAUCAAUGAUGAUAUUGCCCAUUGCUACUGCAACUCCUACAUCUACUGUGACACUAAAGACAACAUCUACUGUAACACUAAAGACACAUCUACUGUAACACUAGAAACACAUACUGUAACACUAAAGACAACAUCUACUACAACACUAAAGACGGAUCCACUGUAACACUAAAUACACAUCUACUGUAACACUAAAGACAACAUCUACUACAACACUAAAGACACAUCUACUGUAACACUAGAGACACAUACUGUAACACUAAAGACAACAUCUACUACAACACUAAAGACAACAUCUACUGUAACACUAAAUACACAUCUACUGUGACACUAAAGACAACAUCUACUGUAACACUAAAGACACAUCUACUGUAACACUAGAAACACAUACUGUAACACUAAAGACAACAUCUACUACAACACUAAAGAUGGAUCCACUGUAACACUAAAUACACAUCUACUGUAACACUAAAGACAACAUCUACUACAACACUAAAGACACAUCUACUGUAACACUAGAGACACAUACUGUAACACUAAAGACAACAUCUACUACAACACUAAAGACACAUCUACUGUAACACUAAAUUCACAUCUACUGUAACACUAAAGACAACAUAUACUGUAACACUAGAGACACAUACUGUAACACUAAAGACAACAUCUACUACAACACUAAAGACGGAUCCACUGUAACACUAAAUACACAUCUACUGUAACACUAAAGACAACAUCUACUACAACACUAAAGACACAUCUACUGUAACACUAAAUACACAUCUACUGUAACACUAAAGACAACAUCUACUACAACACUAAAGACACAUCUACUGUAACACUAAAGACACAUAUACUGUAACACUAAAGACAACAUCUACUACAACACCAAAGGCACAUAUACUGUAACACUAAAGAUACAUCUACUACAACACCAAAGACACAUCUACUGUAACACUAAAGACACAUCUACUACAACACUAAAUACACAUCUAUUGUACCACUAAAGACAACAUCUACAGUAACACUAAAGAUACAUCUACUGUAACACUAAAUACAACAUCUACUGUAACACUAAAGACACAUCUACUGUAACAAAAAAUACACAUCUACUUUAACACAAAAUACAACAUCUACUGUAACACUGAAGACACAUGUACUGUAACACUAAAGACACAUCUACUGUAACACUAAAUACACAUCUACUGUAACACUAAAGACAACAUCUACUACAACACUAAAGACACAUCUACUGUAACACUAAAGACACAUAUACUGUAACACUAAAGAUACAUCUACUACAACACCAAAGACACAUCUACUGUAACACUAAAGACACAUCUACUACAACACUAAAUACACAUCUAUUGUACCACUAAAGACAACAUCUACAGUAACACUAAAGAUACAUCUACUGUAACACUAAAUACAACAUCUACUGUAACACUAAAGACACAUCUACUGUAACAAAAAAUACACAUCUACUUUAACACAAAAUACAACAUCUACUGUAACACUGAAGACACAUGUACUGUAACACUAAAGACACAUCUACUGUAACACUAAAUACACAUCUACUGUAACACUAAAGACAACAUCUACUACAACACUAAAGACACAUCUACUGUAACACUAAAGACACAUAUACUGUAACACUAAAGAAAACAUCUACUACAACACCAAAGACACAUCUACUGUAACACUAAAGAUAAAUCUACUACAACACCAAAGACACAUCUAUUGUAACACUAAAUACACAUCUACUGUAACACUAAAGACAACAUCUACUACAACACCAAAGGCACAUAUACUGUAACACUAAAGAUACAUCUACUACAACACCAAAGACACAUCUACUGUAACACUAAAGACACAUCUACUACAACACUAAAUACACAUCUAUUGUACCACUAAAGACAACAUCUACAGUAACACUAAAGAUACAUCUACUGUAACACUAAAUACAACAUCUACUGUAACACUAAAGACACAUCUAGUGUAACAAAAAAUACACAUCUACUUUAACACAAAAUACAACAUCUACUGUAACACUGAAGAUACAUGUACUGUAACACUAAAGACACAUCUACUGUAACACUAGAGACACAUACUGUAACACUAAAGACACAUCUACUGUAACACUAAAGGCACAUCUACUGUAACAAUAAAGACACAUCUAAUGUAACACUAAAGACAACAUAUACUGUAACACUAAAGACAACAUAUACUACAACAUAUACUGUAACAAUAAAGACACAUCUACUAUAACACUAAAGACACAUCUACUAUAAUACUAAAUACACAUCUACUGAAACACCAGUAGUAGUAGUAGCACUGGGAGCCACCGACACAGAGAAUAGUGAGACGCUGGACAGAGGAGGCAGACUCACUGCUGCAGGAUUGUUUUGAGAAUACUGAUUGGAUUAUUUGUUCAAAGAAUUAUCCAACCAGGACUCAUCCAUCAACAUUGAGGAAUAUACAUUGUCAGUCACAGGCUUCUUUAGGAAAUGUAUUGAUGAAUUUGUACCCACAAUAACAAUCCCGACAUAUCCCAAACAAAAACCCUG
Molecule: long non-coding RNA, 5173 nt
Filed under: Salmo salar (Atlantic salmon)
Lineage: Eukaryota; Metazoa; Chordata; Actinopteri; Salmoniformes; Salmonidae
Description: lncRNA (ENSSSAG00000086494.1)
Source: RNAcentral